CUCCGGUUGAUCCCGCCGGACCCGACUGCUAUCAGAGUGGGACUAAGCCAUGCGAGUCAACAUAGUAAUAUGUGGCAUACGGCUCAGUAACACGUAGUCAACAUGCCCAGGGGACGUGGAUAACCUCGGGAAACUGAGGAUAAACCGCGAUAGGUCAUCACUUCUGGAAUGGGUAAUGACUUAAAUCUAUAUGGCCCCUGGAUUGGACUGCGGCCGAUCAGGCUGUUGGUGAGGUAAUGGCCCACCAAACCUGUAACCGGUACGGGCUCUGAGAGGAGGAGCCCGGAGAUGGGCACUGAGACAAGGGCCCAGGCCCUAUGGGGCGCAGCAGGCGCGAAACCUCUGCAAUAGGCGAAAGCUUGACAGGGUUACUCUGAGUGAUGUCCGUUAAGGGCAUCUUUUGGCACUUCUAAAAAUAGUGUAGAAUAAGGGGUGGGCAAGUCUGGUGUCAGCCGCCGCGGUAAUACCAGCACCCCGAGUGGUCGGGACGAUUAUUGGGCCUAAAGCAUCCGUAGCCGGUCUUGCAAGUCUUCCGUUAAAUCCAGCUGCUCAACAGAUGGGCUGCGGGAGAUACUACAGGGCUAGGAGGCGGGAGAGGCAAGCGGUACUUUAUGGGUAGGGGUAAAAUCCGCUGAUCCAUAGAAGACCACCAGUGGCGAAGGCGGCUUGCCAGAACGCGCUCGACGGUGAGGGAUGAAAGCUGGGGGAGCAAACCGGAUUAGAUACCCGGGUAGUCCCAGCUGUAAACGAUGCAGACUCGGUGAUGGGUUGGCCUCGCGCCUGCCCAGUGCCGCAGGGAAGCCGUUAAGUCUGCCGCCUGGGGAGUACGGUCGCAAGACUGAAACUUAAAGGAAUUGGCGGGGGAGCA
RNAcentral lists this ribosomal RNA (868 nucleotides) under uncultured archaeon. Its description in RNAcentral is "bacterial SSU rRNA". It matches the Rfam family "Archaeal small subunit ribosomal RNA", at positions 1 to 878 of the family's 1478-position model. The record is from RNAcentral.